This 465-nucleotide ribosomal RNA is filed under the name uncultured bacterium. Its description in RNAcentral is "partial 16S ribosomal RNA". It matches the Rfam family "Bacterial small subunit ribosomal RNA", at positions 338 to 795 of the family's 1533-position model. The record is from RNAcentral.
CCUACGGGGAGCAGCAGUAGGGAAUCUUCCACAAUGGGCGCAAGCCUGAUGGAGCAACACCGCGUGAGUGAAGAAGGGUUUCGGCUCGUAAAGCUCUGUUGUUGGAGAAUAACGUGCGUGAGAGUAACUGUUCACGCAGUGACGGUAUCCAACCAGAAAGUCACGGCUAACUACGUGCCAGCAGCCGCGGUAAGACGUAGGUGGCAAUCGUUAUCCGGAUUUAUUGGGCGUAAAGCGAGCGCAGGCGGUUGCUUAGGUCUGAUGUGAAAGCCUUCGGCUUAACCGAAGAAGUGCAUCGGAAACCGGGCAACUUGAGUGCAGAAGAGGACAGUGGAACUCCAUGUGUAGCGGUGGAAUGCGUAGAUAUAUGGAAGAACACCAGUGGCGAAGGCGGCUGUCUGGUCUGCAACUGACGCUGAGGCUCGAAAGCAUGGGUAGCGAACAGGAUUAGAUACCCUAGUAGUC